Long non-coding RNA from Ricinus communis (castor bean), 1241 nucleotides. RefSeq lists it as uncharacterized. Lineage: Eukaryota; Viridiplantae; Streptophyta; Magnoliopsida; Malpighiales; Euphorbiaceae. The record is from RefSeq and is a predicted model, not a curated record. The transcript has 2 exons.
UUUCUCAAGGGAUUUAUUAAGACUGUUGUCUACAAUUUCAAAUUUAGCACCCUUACCAUGGGUAUUGGGAGGGAAUUUUAAUGAAAUACUUUAUAGGCAUGAAAAAGUUAAGGCUCGAGUUAGGAACUUUAAUCAAAUAAUGAGCUUUCAUGAUGUUAUUGAUGAUUGUUCUCUUCGAGAUAUUGAUUCCAUCGACCAAAAUUCACAUGGAUCAAUAGGCACGAUACUACUAAUCUUAUUAAAUGCCGACUAGACAGAUUUUUUUUAACUCGGAUUGGAAUUUAUUGUUUCCAUCUGCCUAUGCUGAAAACAUAUGUUUUUACCAUUCUGACCAUUAUACUAUUAGAAUGACUACCCAAGCUUAUCCGAAUUUAGCAGAUGUAAGGGCCCUAAAGGUCCUAGAAAUCGGUUUCACUUUGAGGAGGUUUGGAUUUCUAAGGAGGAAUGCACUGAAAUUAUUGAGAAAGCAUGGUCAAUUGGGUCGAGAGCUAGUACAGGAUCGAUGGAAAACUCAAUUAAGUCUUGCAGUUCUACUUUGAGUUCAUGGAAUUUUGAUAAGUUCAGGAGACUUCCUUCUAGGAAAGUAAGAAUUUGUAAGGAAAUUGAGCGACUGUAUUCAAACACGUGCUCAAGGGCGGAUAUCGGUCGGAUCAAAGCAGUUAGAAUGCAAACUUGAAAAUUACAUAAUAAAGAGGAGAUGUAUUUGAAGCAUCGGUCAAAGGCUACAUGGUUGGCACAUGGAGACAGAAAGUUGAAUUCCACUUCUAGGUGUCCCAACGUAGGAAAGCUAAUACUACAGCUGAUGUUCGAGGUCAAAUGGAAACUAGCAGAAUUCAAAGUCAGGCAUUUAGAUACUAUACAGAGACACAUCAUCAUCCAGAUUUCUCUAUGAUGGAAAAAAGAAGGAGAAAAUGCAACAUUGCUCUCAACCACCACUUUUAGAUACAAAUAGAAGCAAAGGCCCCAUGAUAAGAGAGAGGCAAACACAAUAAACAGAAGAAGAAGAUUACAAUUACUAUUAUUUUUUGUGUAAUAUUUGUAUUUUAACAUAGAAAAUAAUUAUGGCCAUUUUGCUUAAAGAUUGUCCUAAUUGUAAUAGUUGGCUGUUAUUUUUUGCAUGCAGUGGGUACUAUCCAUUAACAGGCAAAGGAUGAUAAUGUUUCUUUUGUUCUCAUGGCCAUUGUUUAUAUGUACUGCUAAUAUUUUGUUAUAUUAAUGAAAGCAGUUUAUUUCCGAUCUAA